GACGAACGCUGGCGGCGUGCCUAAUACAUGCAAGUUGAGCGAUGAAGCUUGGUGCUUGCACCAAUUUGAAGAGCAGCGAACGGGUGAGUAACGCGUGGGGAAUCUGCCUUUGAGCGGGGGACAACAUUUGGAAACGAAUGCUAAUACCGCAUAACAACUUUAAACAUAAGUUUUAAGUUUGAAAGAUGCAAUUGCAUCACUCAAAGAUGAUCCCGCGUUGUAUUAGCUAGUUGGUGAGGUAAAGGCUCACCAAGGCGAUGAUACAUAGCCGACCCGAGAGGGUGAUCGGCCACAUUGGGACUGAGACACGGCCCAAACUCCUACGGGUGGCAGCAGUAGGGAAUCUUCGGCAAUGGACGAAAGUCUGACCGAGCAACGCCGCGUGAGUGAAGAAGGUUUUCGGAUCGUAAAACUCUGUUGGUAGAGAAGAACGUUGGUGAGAGUGGAAAGCUCAUCAAGUGACGGUAACUACCCAGAAAGGGACGGCUAACUACGUG
Molecule: ribosomal RNA, 497 nt
Filed under: uncultured bacterium
Lineage: Bacteria
Description: partial 16S ribosomal RNA
Rfam family: Bacterial small subunit ribosomal RNA
Source: RNAcentral